Molecule: ribosomal RNA, 590 nt
Filed under: Venitus latreillei
Lineage: Eukaryota; Metazoa; Arthropoda; Malacostraca; Decapoda; Macrophthalmidae
Description: Macrophthalmus latreillei partial 16S ribosomal RNA
Source: RNAcentral
UGUUAAUAACUUGUUUAAAAUGAGAAACUAAGUAGAAGUAAGAAAAAUAAUUUUUGUUUACAAAUAAUUAGUAGUUUUUAAUGAAAAAGGAAUAAAAACUAAAGAGAAAAGUACUGUGAAGGAAAGUUUAUUAAAAUUUAAGAUAGUAGAAGUAUAAUUUUGUGUCUUGUGUAUCAGAAAAGAUUUAAAUGAUUUAUGUAAAUAAAUAUCUCGAAAUAAAAUAUAGUGAUUUUUAUAAAAUUUUCUUUUUAGAAAAAAAGAAUUUAAUGUAAAAUUAAAAGUGAAAUGCUAGUUGAGUUUUAUGAUAUCUAGUUUUUUUAGAAAAAAAUUUAAUUUGAUUUUUAUAAAAAAGUUUUGUAAAAUUAAAUGGUAGGAGGGAAUAGCUUCUUAUGGAAAAAAGUAUAAAAUAGUUGGGUAAAAUUUAAAUUAUAAAUUAGGCUUAGAAGUAGCCAUAUUAAAAAAGUGUUUUAAUUAAAUUAUAAUUGUUUAGAAUAUUUAUAGCAGCUUUUAAAAAUAUAAAAAGAUUGGUUUAAAUAAAUAAAAAUAAGAUAUAAUGAUUUUAUUAGUAAAAUUUAUUGAGAAAUAAGAAU